GAGGGAAGACACGGACCGGAACACGGAGCGGACCAGAGGCAGAUGGGAGGCUCUGAGCAGGGCGCUGGUCUGAAACGGGUCACAGAACGGGUCACAGCAAGAACCAGAACCAGAGCCCUCUGAAGAGAAACAAAAUGGACGUCACAGAACUUCAUCUCACCAGAACCAGCCAGGACGGCCAGAACUACCAGAACCAAUGAGAGGACUUCAGAGGCCUUCAUGACUCCAGAACCAGAACCGGAUUAAAUAAAGAUUCAUCAACAUUUCCUGACCAAAGUUUGUAACUGUGUUAUUGUGAACCUGGAAAAACCAAAAUGUCCAAAAUUGACUCAAAUUUCAAUGUUUAUGUUUUUUAAUCCGACCAAAAGAAAAACUGAUCAAAUUAUAUUGGAAAAAGCAGAAAUGUGAUUUAAUCUGUUCAAUUAGUGAACAAAGAUUCCUGAAAAUCCUCCAAAGAUGAAGAAUCUAAACUUUAUUACAACGUUGAUGUUAAAAUGACUGAGGCCACACCCAAAAGAUAAACAGAACAGAAUCAGAACCAGAUGUUGUUUUAAAAUCUGGAUUCAAUGAUUUCUGAUCAAACCAAACGUCUGGUUCUGAGCCUGAGGAGCCGUUAGUUUUUUUUUCCAGACUCUGAUCCUUCACGCCUCUGAGCCGUUUCAAACUUCACACUCAGCUUAUUCAAGUUUUAAACUAACUUUCUUCUUUCCCUGAAUAUUCAAAAUGCUUCCUGAUUUUAAAUCUCUCUGAGGUAAGAUGAAGAAUUCAGCUUUGUAUUCUACGAUUUCAAUUUCAAUUUGCAGAAUCUGAGCCGUUUGGGACACCGGGUAAUAAGCCAAACAUCGGUUCCUGUUUCCAAAAUGAAUUCAUAAAGCUGCAGGAGCACAAACCGAAUCCUCUCUGGUGUGAAAUACUUCACCUGAAACUUCCUGCAGCUCUUCAGGUUUAAAAAAACGAGGACAGAAGCCGAGAAAAGCUGCUUCAACCAGUUGAGCCCAGUGGGAAUAACGACGACAAGGAUGAUGGAAGAAGAU
Xiphophorus hellerii (green swordtail) is the source of this 1034-nucleotide long non-coding RNA. RefSeq lists it as uncharacterized. NCBI's taxonomy places the organism in Eukaryota, Metazoa, Chordata, Actinopteri, Cyprinodontiformes, Poeciliidae. The transcript has 2 exons. The record is from RefSeq and is a predicted model, not a curated record.